ACGAGCACAGAGGAGCUUGCUCCUUGGGUGGCGAGUGGCGGACGGGUGAGGAAUACAUCGGAAUCUACUCUGUCGUGGGGGAUAACGUAGGGAAACUUACGCUAAUACCGCAUACGACCUACGGGUGAAGCAGGGUGAUCUUCGGACCUUGCGCGAUUGAAUGAGCCGAUGUCGGAUUAGCUAGUUGGCGGGGUAAAGGCCCACCAAGGCGACGAUCCGUAGCUGGUCUGAGAGGAUGAUCAGCCACACUGGAACUGAGACACGGUCCAGUCUCCUACGGGAGGCAGCAGUGGGGAAUAUUGGACAAUGGGCGCAAGCCUGAUCCAGCCAUACCGCGUGGGUGAAGAAGGCCUUCGGGUUGUGAAGUACUUUCAGCGGGGAGGAAGGCGAUAAGGUUAAUAACCUUUGGUCAAUUGACGGUUACCCGGC
This 429-nucleotide ribosomal RNA is filed under the name uncultured bacterium. Its description in RNAcentral is "bacterial SSU rRNA". It matches the Rfam family "Bacterial small subunit ribosomal RNA", at positions 66 to 483 of the family's 1533-position model. The record is from RNAcentral.